This 253-nucleotide ribosomal RNA is filed under the name uncultured bacterium. Its description in RNAcentral is "partial 16S ribosomal RNA". It matches the Rfam family "Bacterial small subunit ribosomal RNA", at positions 524 to 776 of the family's 1533-position model. The record is from RNAcentral.
UACGUAGGGUGCAAGCGUUAUCCGGAAUUAUUGGGCGUAAAGAGCUCGUAGGCGGUUUGUCGCGUCUGCUGUGAAAACUGGAGGCUCAACCUCCAGCCUGCAGUGGGUACGGGCAGACUAGAGUGCGGUAGGGGAGAUUGGAAUUCCUGGUGUAGCGGUGGAAUGCGCAGAUAUCAGGAGGAACACCAAUGGCGAAGGCAGAUCUCUGGGCCGUAACUGACGCUGAGGUGCGAAAGCGUGGGGAGCGAACAGG